RNAcentral lists this ribosomal RNA (556 nucleotides) under Moesziomyces rugulosus. RNAcentral's name for it is "eukaryotic LSU rRNA". It matches the Rfam family "Eukaryotic large subunit ribosomal RNA", at positions 118 to 655 of the family's 3401-position model. The record is from RNAcentral. Lineage: Eukaryota; Fungi; Basidiomycota; Ustilaginomycetes; Ustilaginales; Ustilaginaceae.
AAAGCUGGCGUCUUCGGCGUCCGCAUUGUAAUCUCAAGAAGUGUUUUCCGCUUCGGACCAUGCCUAAGUCCCUUGGAAAAGGGCAUCAUAGAGGGUGAUAAUCCCGUACAUGGCAUGGAGCGCCCGAAGCUUUGUGAUACGCUUUCUAAGAGUCGAGUUGUUUGGGAAUGCAGCUCAAAAUGGGUGGUAAAUGCCAUCUAAGGCUAAAUAUUGGGGAGAGACCGAUAGCGAACAAGUACAGUGAUGGAAAGAUGAAAAGAACUUUGAAAAGAGAGUUAAACAGUACGUGAAAUUGCCAAAAGGGAAGGGUAGGAGGUCAGAGAUGCGGCCUGGGAUUCAGCCUUGCUUUUGCUUGGUGUUUUUCCCAGAUUGCAGGCCAACGUCGGUUUUGGGCACUGGAGAAGGGUAGGAGGAACGUGGCACCUCUCGGGGUGUGUUAUAGCCUCCUACUGGAUACAGCGACCGAGACCGAGGACAGCAGCGUACUCGCAAGAGCGGGCCUUCGGGCACCUUUACGCUUAGGGCGUUGGCAUAAUGGCCCUCUACCACCCGUCUU